Pan paniscus (pygmy chimpanzee) is the source of this 318-nucleotide long non-coding RNA. The record is from Ensembl. Lineage: Eukaryota; Metazoa; Chordata; Mammalia; Primates; Hominidae.
CACAGUCAGAGGCUUGGAAAAAGGAGAGGAGGAAAAUCCUCCCUUACCUUGGCCCAUCAAAGUAUGCGGGCAGAAUAAAUUGUUAACUCCAACAACCGGCAAAUAUACUGAGACCCGAAGUUUUCCCACUGAAAAGAAGAAAAAUAUUGCUGCACUUGCUAUUAUUGAAAUAUGCCCUAUUAUAAAUAAUUUCUUGUCCUAAAUUCUCAUCAUAAGGCACAAAUAACAUUCACCUGGAAAAUGCAAAGAACCACAUAACUGACGCACAAGGCAGAUAAACUGAAAUGAAAAUAAACAAUUUACAAAUUUGUACAUCAG